Small nuclear RNA from Drosophila albomicans, 222 nucleotides. RefSeq annotates it as U12 minor spliceosomal RNA. The transcript has a single exon. NCBI's taxonomy places the organism in Eukaryota, Metazoa, Arthropoda, Insecta, Diptera, Drosophilidae. The record is from RefSeq and is a predicted model, not a curated record.
GUGCCAAAACAUAAUGAGUAAGGAAAACCAAUAUUGCCUUGCUAAUCGCUUGGCAGCUUGGCUUCUAGGCAGAGGAGCUUAACGCGCGAGCGUUCGCUCCUUGAAGCUCAAUUUUUGUGAGGGUACAGGUCGUCCCCAAGUUGCAUGCCCCUCGCACUGGCGGCGGCGGACCGGCGCCUACUUUGUGUCCGGGCUGCUGUUGCUGAUGUUUUGUGGGGCAUG